Molecule: long non-coding RNA, 546 nt
Organism: Eriocheir sinensis (Chinese mitten crab)
Lineage: Eukaryota; Metazoa; Arthropoda; Malacostraca; Decapoda; Varunidae
Exons: 2
Source: RefSeq, a predicted model, not a curated record
GCAGAAGCCAGACUUCUCGGGCUCGGCCUCCAUCAGGGGGUACGAGUGGUUGGGGCGGGAGAAGCCGGUCUUGAUGCCGUCCCAGCCCUCCUCCACUCUGAACUCCCCGGACUGAAUCUGUUGAUAAAAGCAAAUCAAAGGCCUUAUGGUGUGAGCUGUUGAGGUCAGGGAUGUGACUGGGCCAUUCCUACAGGUGGAAGCUCAGUAUCAUCACAUCAGAGGAGAGAGAAGACAGUGUUCCCCUUGUGCAGCGAGUGAUGGACACACUCUCGAACACUCUGUGGGACUGUGUACGAGUGUGUGGCCUAAGGAGUUCAGAGUCCAGUCCAGCCUUCAUCCAAUCUUGGUGACCCUGCCAUUCAAUGUAUUAAUAUACUCCUACACAAUGUGUCCACCCCAGACUGUUUGACACAGGACAUGAACACUGUAAAUGGUGUAUCUGUACAGAGUGAGAACUGUGGGGGAUUGGGUGCUCAGACUGGACCCAUGCCAUAAAGUCUUUUUCACAUGUAGGUGAAGUCGGUGAAUAAAAGUUUUGAAGUUGAA